This 460-nucleotide ribosomal RNA is filed under the name uncultured bacterium. RNAcentral describes it as "partial 16S ribosomal RNA". It matches the Rfam family "Bacterial small subunit ribosomal RNA", at positions 338 to 795 of the family's 1533-position model. The record is from RNAcentral.
CCUACGGGCGGCAGCAGUGAGGAAUAUUGGUCAAUGGCCGGAAGGCUGAACCAGCUAUGCCGCGUGAAGGUCAGUGCCCUAUGGGCGUUAAACUUCUUUUGUGCGGGAGCAAUAAUGGUCACGUGUGGCCAGACGAGAGUACCGUACGAAUAAGCAUCGGCUAACUCCGUGCCAGCAGCCGCGGUAAUACGGGGGAUGCAAGCGUUAUCCGGAUUUAUUGGGUUUAAAGGGUGCGUAGGCUGUGAGGUAAGUCAGCGGUGGAAUGCCACGGCUCAACGGGGUGAAGUGCCAUUGAUACUGCCUUGCUGGAAUGCGGAUGCCGUGGGAGGAAUGUGUGGUGUAGCGGUGAAAUGCAUAGAUAUGACACAGAACACCGAUUGCGAAGGCAGCUCACGAAUCCGCGAUUGACGCUGAUGCACGAAAGCGUGGGUAUCAAACAGGAUUAGAUACCCCUGUAGUC